Molecule: ribosomal RNA, 253 nt
Filed under: uncultured bacterium
Lineage: Bacteria
Description: partial 16S ribosomal RNA
Rfam family: Bacterial small subunit ribosomal RNA
Source: RNAcentral
UACGAAGGGUGCAAGCGUUACUCGGAAUUACUGGGCGUAAAGCGUGCGUAGGUGGUUUGUUAAGUCUGAUGUGAAAGCCCUGGGCUCAACCUGGGAAUUGCAUUGGAUACUGGCAGGCUAGAGUGCGGUAGAGGGUAGUGGAAUUUCCGGUGUAGCGGUGAAAUGCGUAGAUAUCGGAAGGAACAUCAGUGGCGAAAGCGACUUCCUGGACCAGUACCGACGUUCAGGCACGAAAGCGUGGGGAGCAAACAGG